Molecule: ribosomal RNA, 470 nt
Filed under: bacterium tet-w-43
Lineage: Bacteria
Description: bacterial SSU rRNA
Rfam family: Bacterial small subunit ribosomal RNA
Source: RNAcentral
ACAUGCAGUCGAGCGGUAGCACAGAGAGCUUGCUCUCGGGUGACGAGCGGCGGACGGGUGAGUAAUGUCUGGGAACUGCCUGAUGGAGGGGGAUAACUACUGGAAACGGUAGCUAAUACCGCAUAAUGUCGCAAGACCAAAGUGGGGGACCUUCGGGCCUCAUGCCAUCAGAUGUGCCCAGAUGGGAUUAGCUAGUAGGUGGGGUAACGGCUCACCUAGGCGACGAUCCCUAGCUGGUCUGAGAGGAUGACCAGCCACACUGAACUGAGACACGGUCCAGACUCCUACGGGAGGCAGCAGUGGGGAUAUUGCACAAUGGCGCAAGCCUGAUGCAGCAUGCGCGUGUGUGAGAAGCUUCGGGUUGUAGCACUUUCAGCGGGAGGAGGCGUAGUAUACUGCGAUGACGUCCCGCAGAAGCCGGCUAUCGUGCAGCGCCGCGGUAUACGGAGGUGCAGCGUUAUCGAUUNCUG